UGUACUUUUACUAGGUGCAUGUGCAUGUCAUACUUCGAUGUAUCGUGCACCAUUGAUACCAUACAUUGCUGCGAUCCUGGCUGGACCCCACUCUGGGAUAGACCAUACAGGGUAGACUUGAGUUUUACUUUCGUUCGAGCAUCGCUCUCAGUUCAGGAUUACCGCUGUGCGUUCUCGCGCACACUGUUCUCGCGCGUGCGACUCUUGUGAAAUCGUCCCAGGCAGAUGAAUGCCAUCGCGUAUUAACUACGUGAGUGAGAUCCUUACGUUGCGAGGAUAUCGCACGCAUUAUCUCCAGAAAAAUGUUGAUUCCUGCUAGAAGCAUCGCCACAGGUGGCUUGUUCAUCUUUACAUCACGAUUCCUCGUUCUAAUGACACUUGCCGGAGCUACGACCUUGCCACCCAGGAUGCUGCAGGAUCUAGGUAAGCGCACAAACCUCUCUAUGGAGAGAUACAGCGAGGCGGAACGGACGAUCAUGAACUCGCAGACGCAUCUCAGCCGAGAUUCACCAUCGUGGUUCCUUGGUGCAUCUCACGAGAUGACCGAAGGCGCUCAAACUCUCUCGAGGAAAGCCCUGCGGAUUGAGACGAUGGCGGUGAUGCUCGUAGAAGCGUUUAAUAUGUCAUCGGAUCAAGCGUCCUUGCUUCUGCCAACGGUGACAGCCGUCCUCUGUCCAGACUCGCCCAGCUUCCUACGAGUGAUGUCCGAGUGUAAAAAGACGGAUGUCCGUUACAGAACACACACGGGUCGAUGCAACAAUCCGUUGCAUCCGACUUGGGGUGCAGCGCUGGAGGCUUACGUGAGGUUUUUGCCACCAAAGUAUGAGGACGGUGUUUCCCUGCCCCACACGAAGCUACCAAGUGCGAGAGAAAUCUCCUCGAAAAUACAUUCCGGAGGAUUGGACCUUAAGCAUCCUCAUUUAAUGGCACUCACCGCGCUUUUUGGUCAAUUCCUUGCUCACGAUUUAGCGCAUACACCCAGAAUGGAAUUGCCGGACGGCACUAGACUCAAGUGUUGUAAUGUUGAUUAUGAGAAUUUUCAUCCAGAGUGCUUCCCGAUCCGCGCGGAACAGCCGGUCGGUUGUAUGGAGUAUUCGAGAUCGGCACCACAUCCAGGAAGUUCAUUACACGGUUGCAAGUUGGGACCACGACAACAAACUAAUCAGGCGUCUUCCUAUCUGGAUCUAUCACCACUUUACGGUAGUUCCGAAGAGACGGCUAAAGCUCUACGAUCAGGCAAAGGCGGUUUGCUAAAUACACAGAGGAAGAAUUUGCCGAUGGCUUCGCCAAGAUACGAGAGUUGUCGAAGCGCAAGUAAAGCAUUUCCGUGUUUCUUUAGCGGCGAUUCAAGGGUAAACGAGAAUCCGGGUCUUACUUUGAUGCACGUGUUAUUCUUACGGGAGCAUAACCGAAUAGCUGCAAAACUUGAACGAUUGAACCCUCACUGGGACGACGAAAGAUUAUAUCAAGAAGCAAGGAGGAUUGUUAUCGCCGAGCUGCAGCAUAUAACUUAUAAUGAAUUUCUACCCAUCAUUUUCGGAGAACGUGCCCUCGACAAAUUCAACUUACGUUUGAUGCAACGGGGCUUUUUCCGCGGCUACGACAGCCGCGUGGAUGCGACGCUUUCGAACUCGGCAGCGUCGGCCGGGCUCUCCUUUGUCGCCGCACUGACUCCGAAAACUCUGGACCUGGUUGACUCACGAUCAUCGUUAAAAUCUGGCGAAAGAUCUUUACUAUCAGCUUUUUAUUCGCCGCAGGAAUUCUACGAGGCUGGCGCGAUCGAUCGGUUGAUUGUCGGAGCUACAGCGGGACAUUCUAGGAAGCCUCUGCCUCCGGGCUUGAACGAAAUACUCUUGGACCGAUAUUUCCACGAUGGGAAAACCAAAGACGUAGCUGUGGAUUACGCCGCGCAAAUUAUACAACAGGGAAGAGAUCAUGGCUUGCCGUCCUAUGCCAAAUGGCGAAGCUUCUGUGAUUUGCCGAAUCUCAUUGAUUUUUAUGAUCUUAAAGAUACGAUGGCUAAAGAUACUAUCGAGAGACUUCGAACAGUCUACAAGUAAGAUGAUAUAUAGGAAAUGUGCAGAAUAUAGAUCUAGUAACUGGAACACUUUCAGAAGCACCAAUACCUGAUUCUGUUCUCGGACCGACAUUUCUUUGUUUAUUGGGGCGAACAUUUCGGAAUAUCCGUUUAGGUGACAGAUAUUGGUACGAAAAUGGAAAUACUCCUGGUUCAUUUACAAUAAAG
Molecule: unclassified non-coding RNA, 2245 nt
Filed under: Camponotus floridanus (Florida carpenter ant)
Lineage: Eukaryota; Metazoa; Arthropoda; Insecta; Hymenoptera; Formicidae
Description: peroxidasin, transcript variant X1
Source: RNAcentral